GACGAACGCUGGCGGCGUGCUUAACACGUGCAAGUCGAACGGAAAGGCCCUGCUUUUGUGGGGUGCUCGAGUGGCGAACGGGUGAGUAACACGUGAGUAACCUGCCCUUGACUUUGGGAUAACUUCAGGAAACUGGGGCUAAUACCGGAUAGGAGCUCCCGCUGCAUGGUGGGGGUUGGAAAGUUUCGGCGGUUGGGGAUGGACUCGCGGCUUAUCAGCUUGUUGGUGGGGUAGUGGCUUACCAAGGCUUUGACGGGUAGCCGGCCUGAGAGGGUGACCGGCCACAUUGGGACUGAGAUACGGCCCAGACUCCUACGGGAGGCAGCAGUGGGGAAUAUUGCACAAUGGGCGGAAGCCUGAUGCAGCAACGCCGCGUGCGGGAUGACGGCCUUCGGGUUGUAAACCGCUUUCGCCUGUGACGAAGCGUGAGUGACGGUAAUGGGUAAAGAAGCACCGGCUAACUACGUG
Molecule: ribosomal RNA, 468 nt
Filed under: uncultured bacterium
Lineage: Bacteria
Description: partial 16S ribosomal RNA
Rfam family: Bacterial small subunit ribosomal RNA
Source: RNAcentral